GAGGGUAUAGCUCAGUGGUAGAGUUCAUGCUUAGCACGCAUGAGGUCCUGGGAUCAAUCCCCAGCACCUCCU
RNAcentral lists this transfer RNA (72 nucleotides) under Camelus bactrianus (Bactrian camel). It matches the Rfam family "tRNA". From Rfam's summary of the family: Transfer RNA (tRNA) molecules are approximately 80 nucleotides in length. The record is from Rfam by way of RNAcentral. RNAcentral also lists the same sequence under 2 other names. Lineage: Eukaryota; Metazoa; Chordata; Mammalia; Artiodactyla; Camelidae.